Canis lupus familiaris (dog) is the source of this 2197-nucleotide long non-coding RNA. RefSeq lists it as uncharacterized. The record is from RefSeq and is a predicted model, not a curated record. Lineage: Eukaryota; Metazoa; Chordata; Mammalia; Carnivora; Canidae. The transcript is spliced from 4 exons.
UCUUCAUCAUCAGAACCCAGCCGUGUGACCAGGAGACGCCAGCACCUUCUAUGGGGUCCAGGGAGUAGCUGACCGCCAAGGACCAGCCAGUCUUCUGCCAACGUGAGGACUCUCUCCAUCUCUAGUCUCUAACAGAUCUUGCUGUAAAGAAGAACUAGGGCUGUGUGAUGGGAAAAUCACCAACCAGGUGUUGGGGCAUGAGACCUACGGCCUGUCCCACAGACACACAGACAGGGGCUUAGCGUCACCCCUUCUCUGGGAAAUGUAGAUCCCAACGCGGAGAGAUGUCACCGCCCACCUGCUGGGGGGAUCAGCACCAAAACUACAAGGAAAGACGAGUGUUGGUGAGGCUGUGGAGAUGGGACCUCGGUAUGCAAGCGAAAUGGCGCAGCAGCUCUGGAAACCAGUGGGGAUGUUCCUCAAAAAGUUCAAACUAGAGCUACCCUAUGAUCCAUCGAUCCUGCCUCAGCAUCUGGACCCAGAGGAAUUGAAAUCAGGACCUCGAUGAGAUAUGUGCACUGCCCUGUUCACUGCAGCAUCCCUCCCCGCAGCCGCAAUGUGGAGAGAUGAGCCGUCCACGCGCGCCGUGGCUAUAGCAGAAAAGACCCGCUGCCAUUUGCGACAACACGGCUGGGCCUCAAGGGUACUGCCCGAAGCCCUCCCGCUCUCCUGUCACCCACGUCACUUUGCAUAACUGCUCCCUGUGUCACCUGCGAAUGGUCUCACCUUCUCCCCCUCACGGCAGAGCUCUUGAGGGGGCACAAAAGCCGCAGAUGUCCAAGGUCAGCCUUCUGAGCGAGAUGGAACUGCCCUCUCACAUGCCAUUGUCACCUGGAAGCCCUGAUUGGCCUUGUCACCGCAGGGAGGCCAGAGCCACGCCGUUGGGGGCACAGAAACAGCUUGAUCAACUGAGAGUGACAAUGGGAAAGACCUACUGAAAGUUUCUAGGAAAAGGAAGAGCCAUGGAAGCCUCUGCUAGAACAGAGGUCGGCACAGGUCUCAUCCAAAGAGCCAGACGGCACAUAUUUUAGUUCUGCAGGAUCUUCGUGGCAGGGAAGCAGCGACUGACAGCAGGUUUUCUGCAGACUGUUUUAUGACAGUCUAACAAGUCAGGAAGAAAUGACUCCACAGAUAAAAUGUUUUACGAAGUAAGGAUUUACAAAAUAAAGGGAAGGAAAAAUGAACGGUUGGCAGGUGGAAGACAUGGGGAGAUGAGACUUGUGGUUUCCAACCCAAGAGCAGAUUGUGCAGAGAAGCAGGAUCUUGGUCACCAACGAGCAUGAGCUCAGGCAGGCACAGUUUUCCAGCCCAAGCAGAUAAAUGGAAUCAUUAACAAACAGAAAUCACUACCUUCUCUUUACUUGCACAUUUUUCUGCUGUUUGAAUAGGCAGAAAAUUUAUUCGGGCCACGUGUGGCCGGAGGAGGUUUUCUGGAGGACGUGGCAGGUGGUGGUGAGCAAUGGCUUCCCCAGGCGCCGCGUUAGCGGCUGAUGCAUUUCUUAGAGCAGAAUUUUAGACACAAACCUUCUCUCUCUCUCCUGCCGGCAUUGAACACAUCUUAGUGUCAUGGGUGGGAAAGGCUCCUGCCAUCCCGUACGUCUCCUGCUGUUCCCUUUGCCUGGCCGAUGCCAUCCCACCACUGCAGGCCCCUCUUCUGCUAAUUCUAUUCAUCCUUAAGGUCUCAGGCUAAACACGGCUGAAAUCUGGGGACGUUUCCUGACCUCAGAGGACACCAGGCCAUUGCUAGAUGCUGUCUUUGUCCUGCGUGUCUCUAGAGCACUUGCACACUUGAAGCUCUUAAUUGCUCAAUGGUUCUCUUUGUUGCUUGAAGUAAAGCUUCCAGGAGCUUAAGAACCUCACAUCUUCACCGUGUGCAUGUAAACACCUAAAGUCUUAGAGGCCUUCUCCGGCCACGCAGGCCAGCUGGCUUGUCCUCCAACAUGCAGCCACACUCCUGCCUUGGACCUUCCUCCCAAAGAUUUGCUCUAUGUGAAAAGCUCUUCUCUCAUGUACCUGCUUAGCCCACAUCUUCACUUGCAUCAAGACUUUGUGCAAAUGUAACACACAGAGUUGCUGAUUCACUGUGCUGCAUGCCUGAAAGGAAUCUGAGGUUGUCUAUCAGCUGUAAUGCAGUAAACAAAACAAAACAAAAUAAUAGAACAGAAGAAUCAAGGGGUGGGAGGUGGAGGAAAUGGGU